GGUGGCUCAGUGGUAGAGUGCUUGCUUUGCAUGCGUGAGGCUCUGGGUUCGAUUCCCCAGUACCA
This 65-nucleotide transfer RNA is filed under the name Dipodomys ordii (Ord's kangaroo rat). It matches the Rfam family "tRNA". Rfam says of the family: Transfer RNA (tRNA) molecules are approximately 80 nucleotides in length. The record is from Rfam by way of RNAcentral. Lineage: Eukaryota; Metazoa; Chordata; Mammalia; Rodentia; Heteromyidae.